CUCUUCUGACUCUCCUUUCUCCCAAAGGGGAGUGAACCUCUACUAUCCUUUCAUGCAAUGGCCUUUCUUACUUGAUAAUUGUUUUCUUCUUUUCCCACCUCCAUUUCAGCCUAUUUUCUCUCCUCAUUAAUCUUCCAAUCUGACCUUCUGCCUCAACAGCAUGGCUAUGAGUCAGUGCACUGCCCAGACAUGCACUGGCAGCUUCUGGUUACCAGGAUGAGAGAAAACAAGGCAGUCCAGGUCAUGGUGUACAGGCAGGAACCCUUACCACCCUAAACUGCAUGGUCUCACCCAUGAAGAGAAUGGCCUUUGGCCUGCGCUAUCCUAUGAAAGGCUUCGAGGUAUUAUCCGAGGCAGGAACUUUACUUGGCUUCAGGAAGGGUGGGCAGACUUCAUGUCCUUCCCAGAACAAGAAGUCCAGAAGAAAACAAGGUGCAGAGAACCAAUGACCUCCAGUUUUAGUUACUACAGACUGCCAGAGUGCAAGUCGGUUCAUGGUCAACUGAAGGCAGUACUGGAGACAGCUGACACAUCCAAAAGAAUCAGAAAUGACACCUGAUCUUCACCCAUCAUUGACAAAGGAUUACCAGCCAACACAAAUAUGUGCUGUGACUUCUGUUAUCAAGUGGUUUGUAAACAACCAUGUAUUACAGGCAGGAUUUCAAGAGAGAUCAGUGUUGCCCUAUCCAGAAGGAAAAACACAAAAGUGUGCUUACAUGAACUCAUGCAAAUUCAGUGCUCAUGGCAUACGGAGAGUAGAAUUAUCUGGCCAUCUACUGAAGGAUCUGGGAUCUGAUGGAAGGAUUUGGGAUCAGUUUCCUACAGAGAAGAGAUAUCUAAGGAAAUAAUGAAGAUUAAAUUGAAGCAUGUCAUUUUGUGUAAGAGUGUCUGGUUUAAAACUGUUAUUUAUUGGGAACACUUUCUGUGUGAAACAAGUUUAGAGACACUAUGUUUCAAUCCCUCAAACUGGCUUCAUGUAGACAAUUUUCAUAUGGCAAAAUUAUUCCACAGAUCAGUCAGAAUUCAUGUCAUUCUGACUUUAAAGGUAACCUCUGGAUUAUUCUGUCCAAAAUAGGGCUAUUUUAAUUUAUACAAACAGAGAAAAAGGGAAGGGCUGUUCUUUGGACAAGGAGGCUCUCUGUGUGUGCCUCUGACAUCAGAGCCCAGAAAAUAAUAUUCCCCCAAACUGGUAACCCUAAUUUCUCCCUCACACCAUACUGGCCCACAGUCCCUUCUGUCCCAAGCCUUAAAUUUCCCAGUCCUUCCUGCCUAAAAGCUCUUUAAAAUGCCUUCUGUGUUGAGGCUCCCCUUCCACAUUGUCCCUUUCCAAGGCCUCCGCUGUUUCAAAUCACCUUUCUCCCCUACAAAAGCUACUCAUCUUCCUCCCCAUCUCUCCUUGCUUAGAUUUACUUUAUCUCUGACAAUUAUUUUCCUAUAACUUUCACUAACCCUGUUACUCCAGAGGCAGUCCUUGCAAUCCCCAAACCUCUAAAACAGAGAAAUAAGGCCUUCCUAAUCCCUUUCGAAGCCCAGCCUUUCUUUCCCACCUCUCACCUUUCUUCUCCAAACCCUUUACGAACAUUUCCUCAGACCUUUAGUUCCUCUUCUGUUCCCAAUUCCCAUUUCCUCUCUGCAGUCCCUGUGCUCCACAUCCUUAGUGCUCCCAGCCUGGUUCCCAGCUCCUGAGUGGUGCCAUUCAUUUGUAAUUGUAUAUAGAGUUUGUGUAUUACCCCUGCUGACUGCCAAGGGACAGUGCAGCCUUCUCAUCCACCCUCACCUCCAGCAGAGUCCUUUCCUUCCUUAUGUUGUCCUCAGAGAGACUCUUUGGAGAUGCUGGCACACACUUGGAGCCAGCUGCAUUGGUUCCAUCAGACAUAAAGGAAACUUCUAGCAGCUUCUCACAGGAGCCAGCCCUGCAGCCACCCAGCUACCAAAAACUUGCCAUGCAAAGCCCAGACAAAAGUAAUUAUUCAAGAAAAAUGCGCAUCAAAUUUCAUUUCCCUCCUCAAACUGUGAGAAUUCAAACUCAUUUCUCCUCCUGCUUUGUGCUCUCCUUUUCCUUUUGUUAGUCUUCUUUUUCCUGUGACUAUUUCAACUUCAGCUCAAGAAGAUACAACAAAAUAAACAGAAUAACCUGUAUCUGAAGAGGUCUGAUGCUCAAUCAAGAAAUUAAAGAUUUGACAUUGAACUUUCUCAGUCUAGCCAAGAAAAGCCUAGAGAAAAAAAUUCAUGAUUUUUCCAAGUAUUAGAAAAAGCUACUGUAUACUACUAAAUUCCAUACUACUCAGGAAUUUAAAAACACUGUUUCCCUUAAAAAAUAUUGAUAACUGUGUUUUUCAAGCAGUAUGCUCUUGUGCAUUUUUUCUAUGAAUGUUCUGAGAAUAUAUUCCAACUUAAAGAGAGACUUAAGGGAAAAUUCCUAUUUCUGAAACCUGAUCAAGUGUUGAACCAGCUGCUGAACUUCUCAUACUAGGGCGAUUUGAGACGGGCUGCAGAGAACUGAAUUCUCACAAUAGUAAUGUUAAACAUCAAACAGGGAGACCCCUGGUGAGUUUAGGUGUCUAUAUUGGAUUAGCUGCAGCUGAGCAGGGGAUUUCAGGAUAGUAAUUACUCUCAGCUACACCCAAGUUUAUCCAGAACUUUCUCAACCUUGAGUCCUUUUGCCGAUAUGACCUUGUUUUGACUUUUUUUUUUCCUUUUGGUGCUCCAAAAUCGCUUCCAGAUCAUUCUCAGAAACACAGGAGUUUGAAGUGGUUUUCUGCUUUUUUUCCUCCAUACUUGGACACAAGAUAAUGGUUAUAUGACCUCAGAAAGCUUUAUGGGAGGGAUUAUGAGAUGUUGUCAUAGCAAAUUACCAGCUCCUGGUCAACAUUGGUGUUGGCUCCUCACAAAAGCAAGAAACUCACGAGACAAGAAAAGCCUCUCCAGCUGAAGGGAGAAAGGAGACUCCCCUGCCAGAAAACUUUUCUUUAGUGCAGAGAGGAUCACCAGCUGGCCUGGCUCUGUCUAUUGUCCUUUGUUAGGGUAGCACAUGAGGACAGUGCAACUUUCUCUCCAUGUGCCCAGGGGCUGGGAUUCCCUCAUGUCCUCAGGCUGGGACCUCUAGCCUCUCUCUACAGAGCUGUUUCAGAUGGGAUGUGGUUUUGACAGCUGGACUGACAACUGUCCUUUGGGAAGUGACUCAAAUGAAGCAUGUCAAAGUUGUCAUGCAAAGGGUGACAAGUGUCAGAUAACCAUUGUCAUUUAUUUCUGUAGUUAUGUUUUUUACAGUUUACACAAUAUUUUGAUUGUGAAAUAUCAUCUAAUUGCAUACUUCCUAGUGGGAAAAAUUGUAAUUUUUUCUCAUUUUUAUUCCAUGUGUUAGAAUGUCUUUCCCAUAUUCUUUUCUUACACCUCCAAGCUUUGCUGUAGUAAUUUAAUAAUUGAGUAACUAGCACUGAAAACAGUAGAACAAUUUAUUCUAACUGUCAUGUCCGCUUUAGGGGGCUUACCUCAGGGGCAGAUUUGGCUCUCCCAUUUAAAGUUUUAAACUCAGUUUUUCAGUUUAGAGCAGCUCCCAUACUGUCUAGCAAACUUCUGAAAUAAACCUGCAAGCCUUUUAAAAAUCUGUUUUGCCUAAAUGGCACUUUUUAACCAAGUGUGAGUAAAGAAACAUUACACUGGGCUGUACCACUGGAGUCCCUAUUUCUCUAAUCUGCUUAAAGCCUAAAGAAAACUAUUAAAUUGAACCUCUAUGAAAUAGAAACAAAAAAUUUCAGCAACAAUUAUCACUCACUUCUGUAUUGCUUUCAAAAAUAAAUAAGGAAAUAUCUACCAGAACCAUGACAUGGUGCAAAGAAGUUUUCCAUUUGUUGCCUCCCCAAACAGGAUUCUGUUGCUUUUCUAGUAAAAGUUAAAUUAAAUGUUCUAUAAAUCCCUGCAAAUUGUUUGCUUUCAUUUCAAUACAAGAAAAUAUCUAUAGCACGAGUCAUGAGAAUAGGCCUUCUGUGCAGUGAUCACUUCAGACAACACUCAGAUCACUCACCUUUUGCU
Long non-coding RNA from Onychostruthus taczanowskii (white-rumped snowfinch), 4032 nucleotides. RefSeq lists it as uncharacterized. The record is from RefSeq and is a predicted model, not a curated record. Lineage: Eukaryota; Metazoa; Chordata; Aves; Passeriformes; Passeridae. The transcript has 4 exons.